UGGGCAACCUGCCCCUCUCUCUGGGAUAACCCCGGGAAACCGGAGCUAAUACCGGAUACUCCGGCUGGAUCGCAUGGUCCGGCCGGGAAAGGUCCGCCGGAGAGGGAUGGGCCCGCGGCCUAUCAGCUUGUUGGUGAGGUAACGGCUCACCAAGGCUACGACGGGUAGCUGGUCUGAGAGGACGACCAGCCACACUGGAGCUGAGAUACGGCCCAGACUCCUACGGGAGCA
Molecule: ribosomal RNA, 231 nt
Filed under: uncultured bacterium
Lineage: Bacteria
Description: partial 16S ribosomal RNA
Rfam family: Bacterial small subunit ribosomal RNA
Source: RNAcentral